AGAGUUUGAUCCUGGCUCAGAUUGAACGCUGGCGGCAGGCCUAACACAUGCAAGUCGAGCGGUAGCACAGAGAGCUUGCUCUCGGGUGACGAGCGGCGGACGGGUGAGUAAUGUCUGGGAAACUGCCUGAUGGAGGGGGAUAACUACUGGAAACGGUAGCUAAUACCGCAUAACGUCGCAAGACCAAAGUGGGGGACCUUCGGGCCUCAUGCCAUCAGAUGUGCCCAGAUGGGAUUAGCUGGUAGGUGGGGUAACGGCUCACCUAGGCGACGAUCCCUAGCUAGUCUGAGAGGAUGACCAGCCACACUGGAACUGAGACACGGUCCAGACUCCUACGGGAGGCAGCAGUGGGGAAUAUUGCACAAUGGGCGCAAGCCUGAUGCAGCCAUGCCGCGUGUGUGAAGAAGGCCUUCGGGUUGUAAAGCACUUUCAGCGGGGAGGAAGGCGGUGAGGUUAAUAACCUCACCGAUUGACGUUACCCGCAGAAGAAGCACCGGCUAACUCCGUGCCAGCAGCCGCGGUAAUACGGAGGGUGCAAGCGUUAAUCGGAAUUACUGGGCGUAAAGCGCACGCAGGCGGUCUGUCAAGUCGGAUGUGAAAUCCCCGGGCUCAACCUGGGAACUGCAUUCGAAACUGGCAGGCUAGAGUCUUGUAGAGGGGGGUAGAAUUCCAGGUGUAGCGGUGAAAUGCGUAGAGAUCUGGAGGAAUACCGGUGGCGAAGGCGGCCCCCUGGACAAAGACUGACGCUCAGGUGCGAAAGCGUGGGGAGCAAACAGGAUUAGAUACCCUGGUAGUCCACGCUGUAAACGAUGUCGAUUUGGAGGUUGUGCCCUUGAGGCGUGGCUUCCGGAGCUAACGCGUUAAAUCGACCGCCUGGGGAGUACGGCCGCAAGGUUAAAACUCAAAUGAAUUGACGGGGGCCCGCACAAGCGGUGGAGCAUGUGGUUUAAUUCGAUGCAACGCGAAGAACCUUACCUGGUCUUGACAUCCACAGAACUUAGCAGAGAUGCUUUGGUGCCUUCGGGAACUGUGAGACAGGUGCUGCAUGGCUGUCGUCAGCUCGUGUUGUGAAAUGUUGGGUUAAGUCCCGCAACGAGCGCAACCCUUAUCCUUUGUUGCCAGCGGUUAGGCCGGGAACUCAAAGGAGACUGCCAGUGAUAAACUGGAGGAAGGUGGGGAUGACGUCAAGUCAUCAUGGCCCUUACGACCAGGGCUACACACGUGCUACAAUGGCAUAUACAAAGAGAAGCGACCUCGCGAGAGCAAGCGGACCUCAUAAAGUAUGUCGUAGUCCGGAUUGGAGUCUGCAACUCGACUCCAUGAAGUCGGAAUCGCUAGUAAUCGUAGAUCAGAAUGCUACGGUGAAUACGUUCCCGGGCCUUGUACACACCGCCCGUCACACCAUGGGAGUGGGUUGCAAAAGAAGUAGGUAGCUUAACCUUCGGGAGGGCGCUUACCACUUUGUGAUUCAUGACUGGGGUGAAGUCGUAACAAGGUARCCGUA
This 1504-nucleotide ribosomal RNA is filed under the name Klebsiella pneumoniae. Its description in RNAcentral is "bacterial SSU rRNA". Lineage: Bacteria; Pseudomonadati; Pseudomonadota; Gammaproteobacteria; Enterobacterales; Enterobacteriaceae. The record is from RNAcentral.